AUGAACGCUAGCUACAGGCUUAACACAUGCAAGUCGAGGGCAGCAUGGUCUUAGCUUGCUAAGGCCGAUGGCGACCGGCGCACGGGUGAGUAACACGUAUCCAACCUGCCGUCUACUCUUGGACAGCCUUCUGAAAGGAAGAUUAAUACAAGAUGGCAUCAUGAGUCCGCAUGUUCACAUGAUUAAAGGUAUUCCGGUAGACGAUGGGGAUGCGUUCCAUUAGAUAGUAGGCGGGGUAACGGCCCACCUAGUCUUCGAUGGAUAGGGGUUCUGAGAGGAAGGCCCCCCACACUGGGACUGAGACACGGCCCAGACUCCUACGGGAGGCAGCAGUGAGGAAUAUUGGUCAAUGGGCGGAAGCCUGAACCAGCCAUGCCGCGUGAAGGACUAAGGCCCUACGGGUCGUAAACUUCUUUAGACGCAGAGCAAUAAGGUCCACGUGUGGACCGAUGAGAGUAUGCGUAGAAUAAGCAUCGGCUAACUCCGUG
This 488-nucleotide ribosomal RNA is filed under the name uncultured bacterium. RNAcentral describes it as "bacterial SSU rRNA". It matches the Rfam family "Bacterial small subunit ribosomal RNA", at positions 29 to 507 of the family's 1533-position model. The record is from RNAcentral.